Molecule: ribosomal RNA, 497 nt
Filed under: uncultured bacterium
Lineage: Bacteria
Description: partial 16S ribosomal RNA
Rfam family: Bacterial small subunit ribosomal RNA
Source: RNAcentral
GAUGAACGCUGGCGGCGUGCCUAAUACAUGCAAGUCGAGCGAACAGACGAGGAGCUUGCUCCUCUGACGUUAGCGGCGGACGGGUGAGUAACACGUGGAUAACCUACCUAUAAGACUGGGAUAACUUCGGGAAACCGGAGCUAAUACCGGAUAACAUGUUGAACCGCAUGGUUCAACAGUGAAAGACGGUUUUGCUGUCACUUAUAGAUGGAUCCGCGUCGCAUUUGCUAGUUGGUAAGGUAACGGCUUACCAAGGCAACGAUGCGUAGCCGACCUGAGAGGGUGAUAGGCCACACUGGAACUGAGACACGGUCCAGACUCCUACGGGAGGCAGCAGUAGGGAAUCUUCCGCAAUGGGCGAAAGCCUGACGGAGCAACGCCGCGUGAGUGAAGAAGGUCUUCGGAUCGUAAAACUCUGUUAUUAGGGAAGAACAAAUGUGUAAGUAACUAUGCACGUCUUGACGGUACCUAAUCAGAAAGCCACGGCUAACUACGUG